Molecule: long non-coding RNA, 468 nt
Organism: Trichoplusia ni (cabbage looper)
Lineage: Eukaryota; Metazoa; Arthropoda; Insecta; Lepidoptera; Noctuidae
Exons: 2
Source: RefSeq, a predicted model, not a curated record
GCCGCUCGCCCGAGUGCUUGCGCUGGUGGUAGCGCAGGAAGCACUGUUGCUGCGCACAAUCGUCUGUCUGUCAAAUUUUAACUUUCAAGCGAGGAUCAGAGGGACUAGCACGACUGUGGACAUAUGAAGAGUGGAGACAUAUUGGACUGAAGAGCUUCAAUGAUGUCGCAUAUGUAGGUUAACAUUCAUCUCAAGCGCAUACGUCACGCCGCACACUGCAAUGGCUGUCGGUAGGGUAGAGAUCAAUCUGUGUACAACCAGUAGCUCGGUAACAUGUGGUGAUGCGAGUAUAAAACAUUAAAAGCAUGAUUAUACUUAACCAAGCAGCUACUAUUAGAUCAAGUUAAGCUUUUCGCAUCAGAUUAAUAAUCAAAUUCUUCGCGCGGUUGCGGGCUAUCUUAUCUAAAGUUUUUUUUUCCAUAACGAUAACAAACUUGGAAUCCCAGAUUCAUAUAUUUCUAGAUUUAU